CUACGGGAUGCACCAGUGAGGAAUAUUGGACAAUGGGCGAAAGCCUGAUCCAGCAAUACCACGUGAGUGAUGAAGGCCUUCGGGUUGUAAAGCUCUUUUAACAGGGAAGAUAAUGACGGUACCUGUAGAAAAAGCACCGGCUAAUUCCGUGCCAGCAGCCGCGGUAAUACGGAAGGUGCUAGCGUUGUUCGGAUUUAUUGGGCGUAAAGCGUACGUAGGCGGUUUAGUGUGUUAGAUGUGAAAGCCCAGGGCUUAACCUUGGAAUUGCAUUUAAAACUGCUAGACUUGAGUAUAACAUGGGAUGGCGGAAUUUCUAGUGUAGGGGUGAAAUCCGUAGAUAUUAGAAGGAACACCAGUAGUGCAGACGGCCAUCUUGGUUAUCACUGACGCUAAGGUACGAAAGCGUGGGUAGCAAACAGGAUUAGAUACCCCGGUAGUC
RNAcentral lists this ribosomal RNA (439 nucleotides) under uncultured bacterium. RNAcentral's name for it is "partial 16S ribosomal RNA". It matches the Rfam family "Bacterial small subunit ribosomal RNA", at positions 339 to 795 of the family's 1533-position model. The record is from RNAcentral.